Molecule: ribosomal RNA, 441 nt
Filed under: uncultured bacterium
Lineage: Bacteria
Description: partial 16S ribosomal RNA
Rfam family: Bacterial small subunit ribosomal RNA
Source: RNAcentral
GAUGAACGCUGGCGGCGUGCCUAAUACAUGCAAGUCGAACGGGGAGUCGCAAUACUCUUAGUGGCGAACGGGUGAGUAACGCGUUGGUACCUGCCCCGAAGCGGGGGAUAACGGACCGAAAGGUCCGCUAAUACCCCAUGUGCUCGGUAACGAGUAAAGGUGAAAACCACUUUGGGAGGGGCCUGCGUCCCAUCAGCUAGUUGGUAAGGUAACGGCUUACCAAGGCGAUGACGGGUAGGGGACCUGAGAGGGUGGCCCCCCACAAUGGAACUGAGACACGGUCCAUACACCUACGGGUGGCAGCAGUAGGGAAUAUUGGUAAUGGGCGCAAGCCUGAACCAGCAACGCCGCGUGUGCGAUGACGGCCUUCGGGUUGUAAAGCACUUUUGACUGGGACGAGGAAGGACGGUACCGGUCGAAUCAGCCUCGGCUAACUACGUG